Molecule: transfer RNA, 68 nt
Filed under: Asota caricae
Lineage: Eukaryota; Metazoa; Arthropoda; Insecta; Lepidoptera; Erebidae
Description: tRNA-Met
Source: RNAcentral
UUAAAAAUAAGCUAAAAUAAGCUUUUGGGCUCAUACCCCAAAUAUAAAGAAUAAAUCUUUUUUUUAAA